RNAcentral lists this ribosomal RNA (418 nucleotides) under Salmonella enterica subsp. enterica serovar Anatum. RNAcentral describes it as "partial 23S ribosomal RNA". It matches the Rfam family "Bacterial large subunit ribosomal RNA", at positions 2322 to 2739 of the family's 2925-position model. The record is from RNAcentral. Lineage: Bacteria; Pseudomonadati; Pseudomonadota; Gammaproteobacteria; Enterobacterales; Enterobacteriaceae.
UAAUCCUGGUCGGACAUCAGGAGGUUAGUGCAAUGGCAUAAGCCAGCUUGACUGCGAGCGUGACGGCGCGAGCAGGUGCGAAAGCAGGUCAUAGUGAUCCGGUGGUUCUGAAUGGAAGGGCCAUCGCUCAACGGAUAAAAGGUACUCCGGGGAUAACAGGCUGAUACCGCCCAAGAGUUCAUAUCGACGGCGGUGUUUGGCACCUCGAUGUCGGCUCAUCACAUCCUGGGGCUGAAGUAGGUCCCAAGGGUAUGGCUGUUCGCCAUUUAAAGUGGUACGCGAGCUGGGUUUAGAACGUCGUGAGACAGUUCGGUCCCUAUCUGCCGUGGGCGCUGGAGAACUGAGGGGGGCUGCUCCUAGUACGAGAGGACCGGAGUGGACGCAUCACUGGUGUUCGGGUUGUCAUGCCAAUGGCACU